Molecule: ribosomal RNA, 466 nt
Filed under: uncultured bacterium
Lineage: Bacteria
Description: partial 16S ribosomal RNA
Rfam family: Bacterial small subunit ribosomal RNA
Source: RNAcentral
GAUGAACGCUGGCGGCGUGCUUAACACAUGCAAGUCGAACGAUGAAGCCCAGCUUGCUGGGUGGAUUAGUGGCGAACGGGUGAGUAACACGUGAGUAACCUGCCCUUAACUCUGGGAUAAGCCUGGGAAACUGGGUCUAAUACCGGAUAGGAGCGUCCACCGCAUGGUGGGUGUUGGAAAGAUUUAUCGGUUUUGGAUGGACUCGCGGCCUAUCAGCUUGUUGGUGAGGUAAUGGCUCACCAAGGCGACGACGGGUAGCCGGCCUGAGAGGGUGACCGGCCACACUGGGACUGAGACACGGCCCAGACUCCUACGGGAGGCAGCAGUGGGGAAUAUUGCACAAUGGGCGCAAGCCUGAUGCAGCGACGCCGCGUGAGGGAUGACGGCCUUCGGGUUGUAAACUUCUUUCAGUAGGGAAGAAGCGAAAGUGACGGUACCUGCAGAAGAAGCACCGGCUAACUACGUG